Molecule: unclassified non-coding RNA, 230 nt
Filed under: Hevea brasiliensis (rubber tree)
Lineage: Eukaryota; Viridiplantae; Streptophyta; Magnoliopsida; Malpighiales; Euphorbiaceae
Source: RNAcentral
GUGCAUUUGGCCGUGCAAUUCUUCAAGAAGGAUCUGAAAUUGGCCUAGGAGGAAACCAGCUAUUGACCCUUGGAGUUGGUUUAUUGUUUACAGCACUUGCUGCAACUUAUGUAACACGGCUCGCUAAGGACGCUGUAAAAGAUAUUGAGUGAGCAGAAUUAUUUGUGCCCUAACCAAGUAGAGUUUACAAGCUCUUUUAUCAACAUGGACAACUAAAAAGGGCAGAUCGG